UCUAAGAAGGGAAGACUUCCUGGAUUACAGGGACCCUUCUUUAAGGGCCCUUUCAGUUGGAAGUUUUACUUUCUGCCU
Molecule: microRNA precursor, 78 nt
Organism: Chlorocebus sabaeus (green monkey)
Lineage: Eukaryota; Metazoa; Chordata; Mammalia; Primates; Cercopithecidae
Source: Ensembl